UGCGGGGGGGGCAAGCGUUGUUCGGAAUUACUGGGCGUAAAGGGCUCGUAGGCGGCCAACUAAGUCAGACGUGAAAUCCCUCGGCUUAACCGGGGAACUGCGUCUGAUACUGGAUGGCUUGAAUCCGGGAGAGGGAUGCGGAAUUCCAGGUGUAGCGGUGAAAUGCGUAGAUAUCAGGAGGAACACCGGUGGCGAAGGCGGUUCUCUGGGCCUGUACUGACGCUGAGGAACGAAAGCGUGGGGAGCGAACAGG
RNAcentral lists this ribosomal RNA (253 nucleotides) under uncultured bacterium. Its description in RNAcentral is "partial 16S ribosomal RNA". It matches the Rfam family "Bacterial small subunit ribosomal RNA", at positions 524 to 776 of the family's 1533-position model. The record is from RNAcentral.